AAAUGCUUCGUCCAAUUCCUGUGGCCUUAGCAUCGUGCACCCGGUUCUUUGAAGCAAUGUCUGCCAUGAGGGAAUCAUUUUCGACACUUCAGCAUCUCAGAGUUGGUCAUACUGAUGCGUCAUCACCUAUAACACCAGGCAAGGAUUCUUCCCGAAGAAUACCAGGUGAUUCCGAAUGUGUAACUCCACCUCCUUGGAGAAGUGAACCAAGCUUUGAUGACGUAGCUAUCAGAAGCUCAAGGAGGCCUGAAGUCGAGCAUCGAGAAUCAGAGGAUGAAAACAGUGGGGUGGAUGGAGCUAGCCACCGGACAUUGUCAUGGCCUCCGUCAGUUAAAAACAACGGUGUUUAGUCAGACUGACAUUCGUUGCCUGUGACUCAGUGUAUGUGUUUGUGUGAAAUAGUCAUUGUAAUGGGCCUUUGCGAAAAAAAUGUGCGGAAAUGUUUUGAGUUAAUCCUGCCAAACUUAUAUUCUUUUCGUAGGAUUUGAUAGGCAUUUUUGUAUCACGAGCAGAUUUCGUUGGGUUUUAACAAUUGUUGUUAAUGAGAUUUGAGCUCGAGAAGUGGAGGCUGAGUGUUGAGUGUCGAUAAACCAAAUGAUCAUGUGAAGAUCUUGUUAUUCUUUGACCUUGUAAAAAUAAGACAUUCAGAAGACACCACCAAGUUAUCAGUAGCUCUAUACAAUUAUACAGUCAAUUCUCAACAGAUCAGCCAGUAACUCCAGGAAGGUUCUCUCAAAGCCCCUUUCACAUUUUAGGUAUUGUAGUUGGGAAGUGAUUUUCCCGCAAUACUUUUAGCUUCUCACAAACUCCAAAUCAAACGCAACAUAUAAAAUUAAACAGACGUGUGUGAGAAACUAAAAAUACUUUAAGAAUGUACAUAACGUCGACGUCUACAAUACUUCUUUCAUAAUAACUAAUCACGUUAUUGGUAUGUCUUAACAAAUUAAACUUUACAUGAACAGGAGUUUAAAAAAAAUAAAAUUAAAUGAGAGCUAUUAUUAGCACUCGAAUAAUGUCGUUCUACACUACUACUUUUAUAUGUGCAAUAUAUUUCUUCAAUAAAUAAAUAAAUCCUAUUUAUUUAAAAUAUUUUCAUAUGACAUUGGUUGCAUCCUGUGCAGUUCGUACGUGAAAAUGAAAGAUCAAAUGCAAAUAUUAUGCACCCAUCUCAAUGUGGUGGUAGGCUGUAGCAACAAAUGCAUAUAACUUCGCCGCGUUAAAUGUUCCAAAUUCUGCUGCACCUUUCACAUCUCCCACCCUAAAAAGAUGUACUGCCUUGUGAUACGUAAAAAGCCCAGAACGAGAGAAUUAGAUCUCAUAUGGAUUUAUUUUGUGAAGAUUCUAGAGAUCUUCACAUCUUAGUUAUUUAUCGUAUAUCGAUCGCACGAUGUACGAUAAACAGUUAGGAUAUGGGGUUCCUUAGGAUCCCCACAAAGUGGUUUCGAAAAUGAUCCUCUUUCCAAAACGAGGAGCUAUAACUUGGUCUGGAGAUGGUAAUGGUUUGUGCUUAGGUUUAUCCAUAUCAUGUUGUAUUCGUGUCAAAUCAUGAGUUGGUCAACAAGUAAAACGAUAUGUAAAUUAAUAUCGUGCAAAAAGAGCUUACACGUUAGCCUAUAUAAGAGUCUCAAACUCAGCACUUCAAUUAUCAUACAAUCAACUAAACCAAAAUAACACAUUGAAACAAUUCCAAUACCUUAACGUGCAACAACAGAAAAUCAAAACUUAUGUGACCGAUUGAAACUUAUCCCAAACUUUAAAGGUGUGAAAUAUAGUGAACCCAUUUUUGUACGGAUUUCAAGUUAUAUAACACGUUGUGUUAAAAAAUGCAAGCUCUAACUAUGACUCACGAGCAUUCACCCAAAAGUUCAGCUCGAACUAUUGCAAAUGACGCUUUACUAAGUGAUGUAAAAUAAUACUAUCUAUAUACUCUUGUGCAUGUUCGAACUCUACCGAUACCACUUAACCAUUAACUCAUUAAUGCUAAACAAUUGAAGCUGCAUUUAUUAUGCUAAAAAAGUCAAGCUGUAGUUGAAAUAAAAUUUGAUUGAACAAUUGAAAACCAUGUAUAUUAUUAUAUCAACGUCAUCCAUAAAAAAUUAAUAUUGUUGCCUUUGCAGCUAAGAAACGAACCACCCCAACUUCAACAUUCCUAUUUACAAUUAUUAACCAAGUUUGUCAAAUAUUACAAAAUCAAUCAAAUUAUCCAAACAACCUCUCCUCCUCCUCCUCCUCCCAAUUGACACGUAAUUACCAUAACCAAGUGCCACCACCAAACUUUUAGACUUCUAGUAAAGAAGAGAUUUUUCCGUGUGACCGAAACACAUGAGUCAUCAAAUGAAUAAAAAGGCAAACAAAAACGUAUAUACUCUUUAACAUGAAGAUAUUUAAAAAAAAUACCGUAUUAACUUAUUCCUUGCCGUGUACCUCUCGUAUCUCUCUUUUCAUCACAUUAUUUGCGUAACUUAUUCCUUGACGUGCAGUGACGUUCUGUAACAUGGCCUUUGAUACUUCUGUUUUUUUCUUCAGAAAUGUUUGGAGCCACUGGCUUCCUCCCAUCUUAUGAAAUUAUCCACAUCCCCGGCACAUGAAUGUCACUGCAUCUCUGGCCUUGCUCCAUUAUUUUACCUAAGGAUUUAUAUCUGAUCUACCAUGUACUGCGAUCAGGAUGUGAGAAUCCAGAAUACAGAUAUAUAGAACUUUUACGUUGGGAAAUUACUUGUGCAUGAUGUGAUCUUCAUUUUGUAUAACUGACGCAGGAAAUGCUUCGUCCAAUUCCUGUGGCCUUAGCAUCAUGCACCCGGUUCUUUCAAGCAAUGUCUGCCAUCAGGGAAUCAUUUUCAACACUUCAGCAUCUCAGAGUUGGUCGUACUGAUGCGUCAUCACCUAUAACACCAGGCAAGGAUUCUUCCCGAAGAAUACCAGGUGAUUCCGAAUGUGUAACUCCACCUCCUUGGAGAAGUGAACCAAGCUUUGAUG
This 2976-nucleotide long non-coding RNA is filed under the name Malus domestica (apple). RNAcentral describes it as "long non-coding RNA (MDOM_LNC008005)". The record is from RNAcentral. Lineage: Eukaryota; Viridiplantae; Streptophyta; Magnoliopsida; Rosales; Rosaceae.